ACGGGUGAGUAACGCGUGGGAACGUGCCUUCUGGUUCGGAAUAACUCAGGGAAACUUGAGCUAAUACCGGAUACGCCCUUUUGGGGAAAGGUUUACUGCCGGAAGAUCGGCCCGCGUCUGAUUAGCUAGUUGGUGGGGUAACGGCCUACCAAGGCGACGAUCAGUAGCUGGUCUGAGAGGAUGAUCAGCCACACUGGGACUGAGACACGGCCCAGACUCCUACGGGAGGCAGCAGUGGGGAAUAUUGGACAAUGGGCGCAAGCCUGAUCCAGCCAUGCCGCGUGAGUGAUGAAGGCCUUAGGGUUGUAAAGCUCUUUUAUCCGGGACGAUAAUGACGGUACCGGAGGAAUAAGCCCCGGCUAACUUCGUGCCAGCAGCCGCGGUAAUACGAGGGGGGCUAGCGUUGCUCGGAAUCACUGGGCGUAAAGGGCGCGUAGGCGGUCUUUUAAGUCGGGGGUGAAAGCCUGUGGCUCAACCACAGAAUUGCCUUCGAUACUGGGAGACUUGAGUUCGGAAGAGGUUGGUGGAACUGCGAGUGUAGAGGUGAAAUUCGUAGA
RNAcentral lists this ribosomal RNA (557 nucleotides) under uncultured bacterium. RNAcentral's name for it is "bacterial SSU rRNA". It matches the Rfam family "Bacterial small subunit ribosomal RNA", at positions 102 to 694 of the family's 1533-position model. The record is from RNAcentral.